UCGGGGCUCAAGCUAUAUACCGAAGUUGAAAGCCCAAUUUAUUGGGCGGUAGAGGAGCGUUCUGUAUCCGCUGAAGCCGCGGCGUAAGCCAGUGGUGGAGGGUACAGAAGUGAUAAUGUUGGCAUGAGUAACGUCGGCAGAUGAAAAUUCUGCCCGCCAAUACCUAAGGGUUCCUACGCAACGUUCAUCGACGUAGGGUUAGGCGAGACCUAACAUUGUGCCGAAAGGUUUCAAUGGAUGGAUAGCUGGUUAAUAUUCCAGCCCCUGUGUUAUCAGUGAGGGAGUUACACGUCAUGAAGCGUUUCAAAGGCUUAAGAAUUGUCUUUGGAGUGUGGAAGCAUCUUACAUUCGUGUAGGAACGUUAUAUAGGAAAAUCCGUAUAACGAAAAGGCGUCAAGAAAACCUUCUAAACUUAUGGUAAUACAGCUCGUACCGAGAACAGACACUUGUAGGUUGAUUGAGUAUAUUAAGGCGAUCGAGACAACUAGGAAUAAGGAACUCGGCAAAAAAGCGAUCGUAACUUCGGGAUAAGAUCUCCUUGCAGCAAUGUGAGGCGCAGCGAAAGAAGGGGGGGGACUGUUUAUCAAAAACACAGCUCUCUGCUAGCAUGUAAAUGGAUGUAUAGAGGGUGAUGCCUGUCCAGUAUCAGAAUGUUAACUCCACUUGUGCAAGCUCGUGGACUAAGCACUGAUAAACGACGGCCGUAACGAUGACGGUCCUAAGGUAGCGAAAUUCCUUGUCAGGUAAGUUCUGACCCGCAUGAACGGCAUAACCAUCCCCCUACUGUCUUGUUCCUAGACUCGGUGAAAUUACACUCCCGGUAAAAAUGCCGGGUAGGUGCGGUUAGACGGAAAGACCCUAUGAAGCUUUACUGAAGGUUGGUAUUGGGUCGUGAUUUACGAUGUUCAGUAUACGUGGGAGGCGUUGAGGCCAAGACGUUAGUCUUGGUGGAGCCAUCAGUGAGAUACCACGCAUUGUAUGUUGCGGCUCUAACCCCGAAAAAUCGGGGAACAGUGCUAGCUGGUCAGCUUACCUGGGGCGGGUGCCUCCGAAAGAGUAACGGAGGCGUACAAAGGUUGGCUUGCUACGGAUGGAAACCGUGGUGAAUGUAUAUUCGCAUAAGCCAGCUUAACUGUGAGACUGACACGUCGAGCAGAAUGGAAACAUGGUGAAAGUGAUCCGGAUUUUCUGUAUGGAAAGGAAUCCGCUCAACGGAUAAAAGCUACUCUGGGAUAACAGGCUUAUGGGAUCCAAGCGUCCACAGCGACGAUCCCGUUUGGCACCUCGAUGUCGGCUCGUCGCAUCCUGGGGCUGUAGAAGGUCCCAAGGGUUGGGCUGUUCGCCCAUUAAAGCGGGACGCGAGCUGGGUUCAGAACGUCGUGAGACAGUUCGGCCCCUAUCUGCCGCAUCCGUAAGAAAUUUGAGAAGAUCUGUCCCUAGUACGAGAGGACCGGGAUGGACUAGCCUCUAGUGUUUCAGUUGUUCUGUCAAGGGCAUUGCUGGGUAGCUACGCUGGGAAAGGAUAACCACUGAAAGCAUCUAAGUGGGAAACCAACUUCAAGAUUAGAUUUCUCCUCUUUAUGAGAUAAGGUCACCAGUAGACUACUGGGUUGAUAGGCGUCAAGUGGACAUGCAGUAAUGUAUGCAGCUAAGACGUACUAAGUGACC
Molecule: ribosomal RNA, 1668 nt
Filed under: metagenome
Description: bacterial LSU rRNA
Rfam family: Bacterial large subunit ribosomal RNA
Source: RNAcentral